This is a long non-coding RNA of Oryzias javanicus (javanese ricefish), 2707 nucleotides long. Lineage: Eukaryota; Metazoa; Chordata; Actinopteri; Beloniformes; Adrianichthyidae. The record is from Ensembl.
AAAGUGCGACCGUCAAUAAGAUAUAGACUCUUAAAGUAGCUAGUUACGAGCUAGCAAAACAAUGCAGCAACGUACAUCUUGACAUCUUUUACGUGUUUCCAACAUGAAUUUCCAUCAGUUUGUGUGCAUGUUGAACAUAAAUACGAGCGAUUAACACCCGCCAUUUUUUAAACCAUGAAACAUUAAUAAAAACAUACAUCGAAGAAGCAAGCUAGCAUGCUAUCUGUGAGUUGCUAGCACCCACUUUAGCACACAGUUCACGGUUCCCAGCCUAAUUUCUCUCUAUUAAAAUGCGAUUCCUGUCCUGUGAUGAUUCCUCUCCAUCGGAUUAUUUUGCUCUCGAGAUUUUUGAAGUUGAUUGCAAAACACUGCGUCUCCUUUUGUGCUUCUUUUUGUAAUUUUUUUGGACCUCCGCCAUUCAUUACUCGAGAAAACUUAAUGCAUAGUGUCUGUCAUGCCAUAUGUCACGUGACUUACAAGAAAAAACACCAGGGAGGAGGAGGAGCAGCUCGGAUUUAAAGUCACAGGCAGUCAACAAGCUUUUGCCGUCUCGCUCUUGCAGCUUUUCAUAGAAUAUCGUGAUAAAACAAUCUCUCAAAAAUGACAGAUCGUCAGCUUUGGAGAUCGUAUCAUGAUUUUAUAUCGUCAUAUCGCCCACCCCUAAUACAAAUAGUUAAAUUAGAAAUGGUAAACAAUCAAAAUUCUUCUUUAUUAAAUUUUUUUCCAAAUACAAAUCCUUAUUUUAACAUUAAACACAACUUUUCCCAACGAUGCCUGAGACCAGGGGUACACAUUCUGGCAGUUGGAACGUAUCUUAGCACAACACCGGCCCCGGCAGCAAACGCCAUCAGUCCCGGCCACCAGAGUACCCGGCCCCAACAAGAAACUCCUCGGGUCUGGGAUGCCAGCCGCCAUGGCCCCGGCCAUAAUAAUGGUUCGCACAUUUUCCAGCCAAAUGUGUGCUGCAAAAGCUACUUGAAAAAGAUACCUGCACAUGUGGUGCAGAGCUUCAGAUCCACGAGCAUCCACUGUUCCAAGAGAGGUGUUAUUAUUACAACGAUAAAGAACCGAGACAUCUGUGUUGACCCGUCCUCUGAGUGGGUGAAGAAACUCGGGAAUGGCUACCAGUGAGGCACCUCUCUACUUUGACCCAGAAUUCAUAGUUACUGGAUCUAUAAGCCUUUACAGUUAAGCAGAGAAGACACAGCUAGAUCAUUUAAGGGCUGCUUUAUGUUUACAGCUAAAGAAAACGCUCAUCAAAUGUUGCUUGAAAAUUGCUUCGGAUUGUUGUUAAAAAAAAAAGCUAAAUGUUAAUAUACAGAAAAACUGAAACUUACAAAAAAAGGUUUUUUUUUUAUUUAGCUUUCAAUAUGAUUUAAAUUGUGUUUUAUAUGUAAUAAAUAAUACCACCACCAAGUGUCACUGUUUCUCAAUCCAGAAAUGAUUCUUAGAUUCAUUUGAAGAAAAGUUUAAAUGGACGGCAGGGUUUAAGCUCUGGCGAGGGCUCCCUCUGGUGGUCAGAGGCAGUAGCUGACGCCCUCCAACCAAUAUCUACACUCACUCUGUGGCUGUGUCCAAAUUCGGGUUCUGCAUCCUCCCGAGGCCGUGGCCUUCGCGAUCUCCGAUGGCCAGAUCCUUCGGAAGCGGGUAGACCGGAUGUUAAAUGCAGUGAAUUUGGACGGUCUAGCCUUGUUGGGUUUUUUUUUUUUUUUUUUAAUAACUUUAUUGGAACAACAAAACAACAAAGUUGCUAGCUACUUUCCUGUAGCCUGGCCACCGUGACUUGAACGUGUUGUGAACGUGAACUAUUAAGCUCCAAAUGAUUCGUUUUUUUUUUUUUUUUUUUUUUAACUUUUGCUUUUGGAGGAGUUGGAGCAGAUCCAUCGCCGUCGCGGGCACUUGGUAUUUUUCCGGCGGAGACAAAACGAUCUGCAGGUACUGUAUACAAACGCUUAAAAAAUCAUCUACAAGCUCUUUUACAUAUUAGCUUUAGCUAGUUUAAUGGAAAUAUUUAUUUAGCCACACUAUUACAGGUUUUAAAAUAUACAAAUACUGAAUUUUUGGGUUUGUCGAUUAUUCAAGUUUUGUUUAUUUCACAAGUUAUUGCAGUAAAUGUAACCUACUAAGUACCUACACUUUUCUGAGAAUAAAAAAACAAGUACAAAAUAACUACAAAGUGUUUUUAUUUUAUUAAUCAUACUACAAUAGUGUUAAAUGUUAAUUUUAUCUUCAGACUUUUAUUGCAGAAAUUAAUUUGAACAAAUUCCCCCUAGUUUUAUUUGAAAUCAGUCAAAGUAGUAUUUAAUUACUCUCAUGGUCACAUAAGUAUAAUGAUGUUUUAUAGUUUAAUAACAAAUUACUUAAAACCACUUUUUUUUUUUUUUUUUUUAAAUAUAAAUGUGUUUGUGUAUUUCCUUUAAACUAGACUAGACUACUGCAAUGCACAACCAGUCUCCCAAUCCUGGAGUGGUUUUCCAACAGUGAAGAUCCAAGACCAGACUUCAGAAAACUGGAACUCUCCUGCAUCUUCCUGAAUCUCCUUGACCAGGAUUGGUGACAUCGGCAUCCUCCUGCAAGUUCUGGAGGUGCAUCACACCUUUGUACCUCAUGUAAGUGAACACAUUACAGCUCUUCAAUAUUCUUUGGAAUACAUUUAUACUUUACAUUAUAUACUUUACAUUUUUUACAAAGCCUGUACAUGUAUUAU